CUCUGAUUUGAACCACCCACUCCUUCUAAAAAGUCUGCCUCCCCAAGAGACUCACAGCAGCUUGCCCUGGACAAGACCAAAAAAGACAAUGGAUGUGGUCCGCCUUGGGAGUCCCCAAGGGCUGUGCAACAAAGUCAAGUCACCGUCCACCCUUCAGCUCUGAGCUAGAAUCUCAGCAGACACAUCUGGGCCAGGUCCACAAGGACAAGGACUGUGGCUGGCUUCACUAACCACGGUAGUGCAAGCACCACACCUGGGCAGCAGGAAGCCCCGCACCAAGAUUUGUUGAGUGAAUGAAUGAGGUAGUGAAUGAAGCAGGAGGCCAUAAACGCUGAGGGUGUACACCUGCCUCCCUCCCGCAUCUCCUACCCACCCUAUGAGGAGGGAGGGGAGGCAGCAGGAGAGCUGGGCUACCUGGGGUAGAGUCCAGGUUCUGCUACUUACUAGGUAACCUGUGCCUCUGCGUCCUCCGCUGUAAAACGGGGUCUGUGGGGUUGUCCUGAGAAUUAAAUGAGUUAACAUUUGUAAAGUA
This is a long non-coding RNA of Homo sapiens (human), 532 nucleotides long. NCBI's taxonomy places the organism in Eukaryota, Metazoa, Chordata, Mammalia, Primates, Hominidae. The record is from Ensembl.